Lycium barbarum (goji berry) is the source of this 980-nucleotide long non-coding RNA. RefSeq lists it as uncharacterized. Lineage: Eukaryota; Viridiplantae; Streptophyta; Magnoliopsida; Solanales; Solanaceae. The transcript has 2 exons. The record is from RefSeq and is a predicted model, not a curated record.
CCGGUUGUUUCAAAAUAUGAAACGACUAGGGUUCAUUUCUCCCAACAUCAGCCGCACCCCCUCCCCAGCCCUUCUCCUUCCCUCUCUCUUCCGCUCCCUUUUUUUUUAGCAAACCCUAAUCCUCCUUUAACGACGGACAGAUUUGUUGUCCCAUUUUCGCACAAAUCUUGUCCUCACCUUCUGCUGCCUGCAUGUGUUCUGUCGUUGACAGAGGAGGGAUUUCCAUUCUUGGCUUCAAGGCACGGUUUGACCUUCAAAAACCAGGACUGGUCUAGCCACUUUCGGUCAUACCCAAGCCGAACCACGUGAAGAUCUGUUGGGAUUUCAACGGAUCCAUUUUUUUUUACUCAUUUCGAAAACUUAGAUAAUUCAAAAUCCCGCCCAAUAUUUGAAACCUAGAAAAACCCUAGACGUUUCCUAUAUAUAAUGUGGUUCUGGAGUCUUUUAGGGGGGUUUUUUUGGGAGCCGUCUCAACCCCCCUAGAAAAUAUUAGUUUUCUUUUAGUCUCAAUAUUUCUGAAUAUCCAUUCUAAAUACCAAAUCAUUUUUUUCUCGUUUUCCCUCUGUUAUUAUUGCAAAUUUGAGCGCAUGCAAAUUCGGAGAUUGUAGAGUUUUCGAGUGUAUAUCCGAGAUUCAAGCCCAGUUCGCUGCACUCAAAAAAUUUGGGACUCACUCACUGAAAAAUCCCAAAUGAGAUUCGGCACCAUCACUAUACCUGAGCAUGGAGUCAAUAUAUUCCAUUUUCUUGAAUCACAUCGGACUGGCAAAAGCCCGUGCAUUAGAGUCUCCUUUGGCGACUUUUUUUUUUUAUGUUCAUUUUGCUGAUUUUUUUCUUCGUGUUAUUUUGUUUGUGGGAUUUGGGGUUGUUUUGACCGGAUAUAUUGUUUAACAUAGGGUUAAUUAGGAAUAUUACACCUAACCCCUUUAGAAUUUCCAUUCUUAUUAUUAAUAGGGAAUUUAUUCUACCUUAUAGAUUAUUUA